RNAcentral lists this ribosomal RNA (229 nucleotides) under uncultured bacterium. Its description in RNAcentral is "partial 16S ribosomal RNA". It matches the Rfam family "Bacterial small subunit ribosomal RNA", at positions 568 to 796 of the family's 1533-position model. The record is from RNAcentral.
UGCGCAGGCGGACACGUCAGUGUCUUGUGAAAUCCCACGGCUCAACCGUGGAACUGCAGGGCAUACUGCGUGUCUUGAGGCGGGUAGGGGCUGCCGGAACUCUAGGUGUAGCGGUGAAAUGCGUAGAUAUCUAGAGGAACGCCAAAGGCGAAGGCAGGCAGCUGGGCCCGUUCUGACGCUCAGGCACGAAAGCGUGGGGAGCAAACAGGAUUAGAUACCCUGGUAGUCC